GAUCCCAUGUAGACGACAUGGUAGAUAGGCCAGGUGUGGAAGAGCCGUGAGGUUUGGAGCUGACUGGUACUAAUCGAUCGAGGGCUUUACUUA
RNAcentral lists this ribosomal RNA (93 nucleotides) under Veillonella denticariosi JCM 15641. Its description in RNAcentral is "partial 23S ribosomal RNA". It matches the Rfam family "Bacterial large subunit ribosomal RNA", at positions 2832 to 2925 of the family's 2925-position model. The record is from RNAcentral. Lineage: Bacteria; Bacillati; Bacillota; Negativicutes; Veillonellales; Veillonellaceae. RNAcentral also lists the same sequence under 1 other name.